This 217-nucleotide ribosomal RNA is filed under the name uncultured Spirochaetaceae bacterium. RNAcentral's name for it is "partial 16S ribosomal RNA". It matches the Rfam family "Bacterial small subunit ribosomal RNA", at positions 1165 to 1382 of the family's 1533-position model. Lineage: Bacteria; Pseudomonadati; Spirochaetota; Spirochaetia; Spirochaetales; Spirochaetaceae. The record is from RNAcentral.
GGAGGAAGGUGGGGAUGACGUCAAGUCAUCAUGGCCCUUAUGUCCAGGGCUACACACGUGCUACAAUGGGUGAGACAGAGUGACGCGAAGCCGCGAGGUGGAGCAAAUCGCAGAAAUCAUCCGUAGUUCGGAUUGGAGUCUGAAACCCGACUCCAUGAAGGUGGAAUCGCUAGUAAUCGCGCAUCAGCAUGGCGCGGUGAAUACGCUCCCGGGCCUU